RNAcentral lists this long non-coding RNA (759 nucleotides) under Rhinopithecus bieti (black snub-nosed monkey). RNAcentral's name for it is "lncRNA (ENSRBIG00000046724.1)". The record is from RNAcentral. Lineage: Eukaryota; Metazoa; Chordata; Mammalia; Primates; Cercopithecidae.
GUUCCUAUAGCAACCCUGUGAGGGGAGUCCUGUUGUUCCCACUUUUCAGGUGCGGAAAAUGAGGCAGAGGAGUUAAGCUAUUUUCUCGAGCUACCACCACUGCAGUGAUCUCAUCAAUGAUGUCUCCCCAAAAUGGGGUUUGAAUCUACCUUCAGGCAGCCUCUGCCCUUGUGAUGGUAGGAUGGCAGUCCAGCUUCAGGACUACCUCUCACCAGCUCAGCACCUUAGUGAAAAGAGAACUCCUCCCAAGGGUUUAAAUACAAGCCCUAGGACUGCAUUUUAUUGAAUGUAUUAUAUAAUGUAUUAUAAUAUACUUGAGUCACAUGCCAAGCCAUACCAUGUAUCCAUCCUGGAAACCUGGAGGUGGAGUCAACCCCACCUAAAUCAACAUGGCCUGAGAAUGGGGAAGGAGAAGUUCUCCAAGGGCAAGGCGGAGGUUCUUGACAGAAGAGGAGAGAGACGCUGAGUAGAUGAGAAGAGCCAACAUCUACCACAGAGCGGAAAACAACAACCUUGAUUCUCAUGACAAGCCUGAAAGCCUAUGUGAUCUAGGUAGGGUUUCUGGAGAAGACUUUCGAUCUUUCUUGCUGGACUGCAACCUGGGUGGAUGUGAGGCUGAGGCUGCGGCUGCUGCCAGCAUUGCUACUACUUGGAGGCGGGAAGAACUGAGAGAUGCAGACACGAGGUCUUGGAAACAGCACUUGAGGCCUGAAUCAAGCUGCAUCUGAAACCAGACCUAUACCUGGGCUUUCCAGUUAC